This is a long non-coding RNA of Haplochromis burtoni (Burton's mouthbrooder), 942 nucleotides long. RefSeq lists it as uncharacterized. The record is from RefSeq and is a predicted model, not a curated record. NCBI's taxonomy places the organism in Eukaryota, Metazoa, Chordata, Actinopteri, Cichliformes, Cichlidae. The transcript has 5 exons.
UUAAUCCCGCUCUCAUUGUUAAAGAUGGGGUUGUUGGGAGCCAUAGGCUUUUCUUUAGCUUUGAUAACUCUAACUCAGACACAUGAAGGUGCAGAAGGGUGCAAAAUCUUGUCAGCAAGUGCCUCAAAUGCAUCAUCAAUUCUAGUAAAAUGGGAAAAGCAUGCUGGAGCGACCAGUUAUAUUUUGGAGCUUCGAGAGAAAAACUCUCCACAGUCUGCACCGAUUACAGCGCCCAUAUUCGGACACCAGACUGAAAGGAACGUCUAUGGUCUAAAACCAGGAACUGAGUAUAAUGUGACUGUCAAAGCUUUUGUCUUCUUCAGUGUGGCGUGUGUGAAUUCAACCCUGGCUUCCACAGUGAUUUAAAGAAGAGAAAAGCACAUGAAGAUAUUACACAACAUAUUCAUCAUACACUACUACACCACAGGAAGAAAGUCGUGCUCCUAAAGGAACAAAUGUCAACCAGGAAUCAGUCAUGGAGCAAGAAAAUGAGAAAUGGUUUUGUUAAAUGAUUUUCAUGUGUUAAAUGAAAAAAACAAGUGUAACAGCAGUUCUUUCUGUGUGUUCUGCUCAAAAUAUAUCAGAAAGGGCAUGUGGUGGAAAAAUCUGCGUAACCACACAGGUGUAGCUACCUGCUGUAGCAGCUGCUUGUGAACAUGGGAGAGACCUCUUCUCUUUUUUAAAGUUUAAACCCAGGCAGGAGGCAUGUUGGUGAUGAAGUGCUAAUGAAGACACCGCUCUGUGAAUCUUUUCCUGAUCUGCCUGUUUGCUUUAAAUUCUCUUUGUGCUAUUUAUGAUUAUGAGAAUUAAAUUUUAAUUUUGUGCAGCAUGUGUGUAAAAAUGGUUUCCAGCAUCAAUUUGCAUUUGAGAGUAAAUAAUUAGUUCGUGUGUAAUUCUAUGGUAAUAAUUAUGCAAGAAAUAUCUUCUCAGUGACAACAUGUU